CUUGGACAUAUCAUCCCAAUCUACUACCAUUGUCCAUCAAAUAUUUGGAGGCUUUCUGAGAUCCAGAGUCAUCUGCUUCAGCUGCAAAGCCAUUUCUGAUUCCUAUGAGGCCUUCCUGGAUGUCCCUUUGGAUAUCAAAGCAGCCUCAUCCCUCACUGCAGCUCUGGAGGACUUUGUAACACCUGAGCACCUGGAUGGUGAAAACUGCUUUAAAUGUAGCAAGUGUGAGAAGAAUGUUGCCGCCACUAAGAGGUUCACUGUCCACUGUGCACCCAAGGUUCUCACUGUGUGUCUGAAGAGGUUUGACUGCUUCACUGGUGGGAAGAUCAGCAAGGUGUGUACACUAUUGGUGUGCAGCUUU
Molecule: long non-coding RNA, 361 nt
Organism: Pseudopipra pipra
Lineage: Eukaryota; Metazoa; Chordata; Aves; Passeriformes; Pipridae
Exons: 4
Source: RefSeq, a predicted model, not a curated record